AGAGUUUGAUCAUGGCUCAGAUUGAACGCUGGCGGCAGGCCUAACACAUGCAAGUCGAGCGGUAGCACAGAGAGCUUGCUCUCGGGUGACGAGCGGCGGACGGGUGAGUAAUGUCUGGGAAACUGCCUGAUGGAGGGGGAUAACUACUGGAAACGGUAGCUAAUACCGCAUAAUGUCGCAAGACCAAAGUGGGGGACCUUCGGGCCUCAUGCCAUCAGAUGUGCCCAGAUGGGAUUAGCUAGUAGGUGGGGUAACGGCUCACCUAGGCGACGAUCCCUAGCUGGUCUGAGAGGAUGACCAGCCACACUGGAACUGAGACACGGUCCAGACUCCUACGGGAGGCAGCAGUGGGGAAUAUUGCACAAUGGGCGCAAGCCUGAUGCAGCCAUGCCGCGUGUGUGAAGAAGGCCUUCGGGUUGUAAAGCACUUUCAGCGGGGAGGAAGGCGAUAAGGUUAAUAACCUUGUCGAUUGACGUUACCCGCAGAAGAAGCACCGGCUAACUCCGUGCCAGCAGCCGCGGUAAUACGGAGGGUGCAAGCGUUAAUCGGAAUUACUGGGCGUAAAGCGCACGCAGGCGGUCUGUCAAGUCGGAUGUGAAAUCCCCGGGCUUAACCUGGGAACUGCAUUCGAAACUGGCAGGCUAGAGUCUUGUAGAGGGGGGUAGAAUUCCAGGUGUAGCGGUGAAAUGCGUAGAGAUCUGGAGGAAUACCGGUGGCGAAGGCGGCCCCCUGGACAAAGACUGACGCUCAGGUGCGAAAGCGUGGGGAGCAAACAGGAUUAGAUACCCUGGUAGUCCACGCCGUAAACGAUGUCGAUUUGGAGGUUGUGCCCUUGAGGCGUGGCUUCCGGAGCUAACGCGUUAAAUCGACCGCCUGGGGAGUACGGCCGCAAGGUUAAAACUCAAAUGAAUUGACGGGGGCCCGCACAAGCGGUGGAGCAUGUGGUUUAAUUCGAUGCAACGCGAAGAACCUUACCUGGUCUUGACAUCCACAGAACUUUCCAGAGAUGGAUUGGUGCCUUCGGGAACUGUGAGACAGGUGCUGCAUGGCUGUCGUCAGCUCGUGUUGUGAAAUGUUGGGUUAAGUCCCGCAACGAGCGCAACCCUUAUCCUUUGUUGCCAGCGGUUCGGCCGGGAACUCAAAGGAGACUGCCAGUGAUAAACUGGAGGAAGGUGGGGAUGACGUCAAGUCAUCAUGGCCCUUACGACCAGGGCUACACACGUGCUACAAUGGCAUAUACAAAGAGAAGCGACCUCGCGAGAGCAAGCGGACCUCAUAAAGUAUGUCGUAGUCCGGAUUGGAGUCUGCAACUCGACUCCAUGAAGUCGGAAUCGCUAGUAAUCGUAGAUCAGAAUGCUACGGUGAAUACGUUCCCGGGCCUUGUACACACCGCCCGUCACACCAUGGGAGUGGGUUGCAAAAGAAGUAGGUAGCUUAACCUUCGGGAGGGCGCUUACCACUUUGUGAUUCAUGACUGGGGUGAAGUCGUAACAAGGUAACCGUAGGGGAACCUGCGGUUG
Molecule: ribosomal RNA, 1520 nt
Filed under: Klebsiella pneumoniae
Lineage: Bacteria; Pseudomonadati; Pseudomonadota; Gammaproteobacteria; Enterobacterales; Enterobacteriaceae
Description: bacterial SSU rRNA
Rfam family: Bacterial small subunit ribosomal RNA
Source: RNAcentral